ACAUUGCUGUGAGGAAGCCUGGGCCACAAGGAGAAGCCCACGUGGAGAGACCCAUGUAAGGAGAAACUGAGGCCCUGAUACAUGGCCUCAUCUGCACUGCCAGCUGACAGCAGCACCAGCCUGCCAGCCAUGUGAGUGUUCACACUGGGAAUGGAUCCUCUAACCCGCAGAUAUGAGAUGAAUUGCCUUGGACUUUACCCAAAGGUUGUGGAUCAAGAAAGGUCCUAAACAAAGCUCAGGGGAAUGGGACUAAACUCACCAGUAACAUGCGUAGCCAAAGGUCUAUUUUGCUUAAGCUGGUCUUGAACUUCUGACCUCAAAUGAUUCUCCCAUCUCAGCCUCCGAAGUGUUGGGAUUACAGAUGUGAGUAACCAUGUCUGGCCUAGCUUUUAAUUUUAUAAAUGUUAUUAUAUUUCAGUAGAAGUAAAAUAAGUAAGCUAAGAACUAGAAGCCAAAUGGUGUAUUGAUAGACAGAUAGCUAGACAGGCAUAGAUAUAGAUGUAUAAUUACUUAACAAAUCCUAUUAAAAUCAGGAAAUCUAAGUAGCUUCUAACUGAGUUAACUGAGCUUACUAUGGCAAUGCAGAAACAUAAUUGUAUCAACCUUACAAUGCAGAUAAAGUUCCAGGAGUGAAAUUUUAAAUAUAACAUUAUUUUACUUAACCUGUAAAACAAAUGAAAAGUGACGGUUUUGAAACUUUAAGUAAAUGCUUGACUGUGAUAGCACCAAGUAUCUGAAUUUUUUUCUUUUUUUCUUUUGAGACAGAGUCUUACUCCAUUUUGCAGACUGGAGUGCAAAGGCAAAGUCGCAGCUCACUGCAGCCUCAAACUCCUGGGUCAAGCCAUCCUCCUGCCUCAGCCUCCUGAAUAGCUGGGUCUACAGGUGCACCCCACCAUGCCCCCCAGCUAAUGAAUAUUUUCUUUUUCUUUUUUUUUUUUUGAGACAGAGUCUCCCUGAGUCAUCCAGGCUUUCCUCUGUCCAAGCAGUGGUGCGAUCUUGGCUCACAGCAAACUCUGCCUCCCAGGUUCAAGGAAUUCUCCUGCCUCAGCCUCCUGAGUAGCUGGGAGUACAGUCAUGCACCACCACUCGCAGCUAAUUUUUGUAUUUUUAGUAGAUAUGGGGUUUCACCAUGUUGGUCAGGCUGGUCUUGAACUUCUGACCUCAAAUGAUCCACCUGCCUCAGCCUCCAGAGUACUAGGAUUAUAGGCGUGAACCAGUGUACCAGGUCAAUGAAUAUUUUCAAAUUGGAUUUAUUGAACACCUCAUAAUGUUUCAGUACAUAUCUAAAAAGUGCAUUAUACUGGAAAAAAACAGCUUAGCGUGGUGGUUAAUGGUUUCAAUUCUGGAGUCAGACCAUCCUGGGUUUGAAUCCUAGCUCUGUCUAUCUCUAGCUAGUUGAUCCUUGGGCAGAUAAUAUCACCUUUUCGAGCUUCAGUCUCCUCAUCUGUGAAAUGGGUUUAUUAGUCUCCAUUUUAAAGGAACAUUGCAAGAAUUAAAUGAGAUCAUGGAGUUAAAAAGCUUAGCACAAUGCCGAUGUCAAAUAAGUGUUAGAGAUUAUUACUGUUUUAAAGAAAGGAGAAACAGCGGCCACUCAGGGCCAAGGGGAAGGAUGCUCUUCUCUGAGGUCUUGCUGAGCCACAAGUAGCUUGUCAGGACUGCCUUGUCACAUCAGCCUAACCCCUAUGUCGUGUGUUCUCAGCCACUUCACUGCAUGAUCUCACUCCCAGUGAGUACUCACACCUCCAGAUGCCCUCUAUUAUACUUUUUUUUUUCCGUUCUGACAUCUGCAUGGAAAAAGAAAAGAAGCUCUUAGAGUUAAGUAUGAAACAGGCCAGUGAUGACAGUCAGAGAAGAGUCCUGCUGCUGGCCUCUGACGAAAGCCACCAGAGGGGCUUUGAUGCAAACCUAAUCUGAAGAAAGGACUUCGAUUCCAGGCUCAAAAUUCAGAGCGAAUUCAUUUUUUCUUUUUCAUGUAAUUAAUACGUAUGCUUUGUUUAACAACAACAACAAAACUGCAUAGUCCAGACAAAUGAAAUGCUAAGUCUCCUGUCCCAAACGCUUCUAGUUCCGGUUUCUUGUUCCUUUUUAAUUACUGGUUUCUGGGCUUUUGGGGAUCACCUUUAUUGUAGGUGAAUUUGAGUGGAACAUUCUGAUGAAAGCAUUAUAGGGACCUACGUCAUGAUAUGUUGAACCUAAGGGAACAAGAGGAUUCUAUGUCCUGGUUGAGGCCAGUGUCAUCAUUGGCGGAUACCAUCUUUGCAGAAUUUGAAAAUGAAAUUUUGAAUAAAUGAGCAGAUGAUGAUCAAAGAAGCCAGAAGAGCCAGAAGAACUUUUCAGUUUACAUCUUACUACAACCAUCCCCAGAGUGCCUGGGCAGAGCAGGCAGGGGGCCAUUAAUAAACCAGACAAUGCCCACAGCUUGUCCAAGGAGCAGGGCUUGAAAAUCAGACCGGGAACCUGAUUCUUCCUGUCCUAACCAGGCACCUGGAAUGGUGAUGGAAUGAACCUGGCUGUGAAUGGUCCAGACCUGGCACCCAGACAGACCCUUGAGAAGAAAGAUAGGAAUAGUCCACCUACUGGGGUACAGGGUUCCCCCAGCCAAGCCAGCCACAUGAAAACCUAGAACAAACCAAGACUCUACUCUUCUCAUAGACAUGCCAGCCAACUUGUAACUUACCUAGCAGGAAUUUAGAAGUGGAUUAAGGAAAUAAGAAUGAUCCAGGUUGAUUUCACUAUGGUCAGAUGCCAGUAAAAUAAAUCUAGAUUAUCAUUAUGUAUUUAUACCCACAAAGAGAAGGACUUGGCAUGGAUUGCAAAGUAUUUAAUUAUAAUUUAGACAUAUUAUGGCACUCAGUGUUUUGUUUUAUUAUACCAUUCAUUUAUUGACAGGCCAAUGUGACCACAGAAAAUUUAACAUCCCAACCAGUCCUUCUCCCUGACUGCCUGUAUUGCUAGGAAGAAUGAAAAUUAGCUGUAUAGGAAAAAAAAAAAGAUUCACUUUCAUAAGUAGUCCACAUGUACUGUUGUAAAGAUUCACUGUCAUAAGUAGCCCACAUGUGAUGUCCUAAGCGCAGUGAAUGUAGGGGAGGAGAGCUGAGUCUCUAAGCACACAAGCUCUUUGAAGCAUCUCUGCCUGGCAAAGGCUCUUCUCCCGGCCUCCAAGUUAUCCUUUCAGACUCACCUCUCUUUAAAACCUUUCACCUCCCAGUUAGGAUGAAUUUCUUCUUCUUUUCUCCUUCUGGGGUGUCCUGUUCUUACCUCAAUAAUUUUUUCAGUGAUGUGUUCUAAUUACUAGUUUAAGAAUCUGCCUCUUGUACUGGUCAGUGAGCCUUUCCAGAGGGCAAAAGACUGCAAGAAUUGCCUUAUUCAUUUUGGUACAUCCACACAAAGAAGGACUGUGCUACAGUAAAAGAGAAAAAGGAAUUAUCAGGCAUCAGCGAAAUGAAAAUGAAAUCCACCAUGAGGUAUCACUUUACAUCCACUAAGAUGGCUAUAUUCAAAAUGUCAGAUAAUAACAAGCGUUGAUGGGGAUAAGGAGAAUUCAGCACCCUCGUACAUUGCUAGUGGGACAAUAAACUGGUGCCACAGCUGUGGAAAACAGCCCUUUGGUUCCUUAAAAGAUUAAUCAUAGAGUUACCACAUGAGAAAUGAGAAAGCCAAGUAUAAAGGGGUCACCGGAGAACCUCCAACUGUCCUGCUCACUGGGAGGAGUGUGCACUGGGGGUGGAGCCUCAGGAAGUUUGCAUGUUUGCAGGUGGGAGGAGCCUGGCCUCUCCUAUUCCAGGGAGGUAUCUGGGAUUCAGUCUGUGAGUCAGAAAUCCAACUAGCAGGAUCUUUGCUUUGCUGAGAGUCUCUGUUUCCCCCCCUUUUUUCCUUUUUAUUCAAUAAACACUUCCUUUCUCACCCUUCAAAGUGUCUGUGAGCCUAAUCUUUGAUGGUCGCAUGACAAGAACCCAGGUUUUAGCUGAACUAAGGAGAAAGUCCUACAACACAGAUAAAUACCCAAGAUAAUUAAAACUGCACAUCCACACAAAAACUUAUACAUGCAUGUUCAUAGCAGCAUUGCUCAUGAGACAAAAAGUGGAAACAAUUUGAGCACCCAGCAACUGUCAGAUGAAGCAAUAAAAUGUGUUGUAUCUAUACAAUGGCAUAUUAUUCAGCAAUUAAAAAAUAUGAAGUACUGAUACAUGUUACAACAUGGAUGAUCCUUGAAAUUAUGCUAAAUGAAAGAAGACAGGGGCAAAAGAUGACACAUUAUUUGAUUCCACAUAUAUGUAGUGUCCAGAACAGGCACAUCUACAGACACAAAGUAGGUUGCUGGCUCCCCAGUGAGUAACUGCUAAUGGGUACAGAUUUCUUUUGGGGGUGAGGAAAAUGUUAUAAAAUUGAUUGUAGUGAUGGUCACACAACUCUGUGAAUACACUAAAAAACACUGAAUACUUUAAAUGGAUCAAUUUUAUGGCAUGUGAAUUAUUAUCUUAAUAAAGCCGUUAUUUAAGAAAAUUAGAACAAGCUCUUUCAUUCUGGUGUGGUUUCUGCCAUAUAAAGUUACCAAAAAAGGCAAGGUGUAAAAGAGUAUACUUUAUAAUUUAUGUUUGAAAAGGGGGGCAUAUUAAAAUGUGCACGCAUCAGCUAAUUCUUGCAGAAAGAAUCACAGAAAGGAUAAAUCAGAAAUUAAUGAUAAGCUGGACACAGUAGUUCAUGCCUGUAAUCUGAGGCAGAUGGAUCAUUUGAAGUCAGGAGCUUGAGACCAGCCUGGCCAACAUGGCAAAACCCCAUCUCUACUAAAAAUACAAAAAUCAGCCCCACAUGGUGGUGGAUGCCUGUAAUCCCAGCUAUUUUGGAGGCUGAGGCAAGAGGAUUGCUUGAACCCAGGAGGCAGAGGUUACAGUCAGGAGGUGGAGGUUGCAGCAAGCCGAGAUCAUGCCACUGUACUUCAGUCUGGACUACAGAGCAAGACUCUGUCUUAAAAAAGAAAAAAAAAUUAAUGAUAAUGUCCCCUACAGAGGGAGAGUAUGCAAAGGGUGGAAGGGGAAGAGAGGUAGUGUCACUUCUCUGACUAAAACUUUUUGUAUAGUUUUGACUUUUGGAAACAUGUUGGUGUUUUUAUAAAUUCAAAAAAAAUUAACAAAGUUGGCAGAAAAACAAAUUGGACACAACAUGAAUUGAGCUGUAUAGCGAAUGAUAUAAACAUAUGGGGAAAAAAAGGACUGUGCACAUAUAAACAGCCUAAUGACAGAAAAAACUGCAAAUACAUCUUGAACUUUGGCGUAGUAGUUUUGUUAUUGGCAGUGCAAUGAUAGGAAUUCUGGAAGUAUUUUCUGGAUAUUGCAGGAUAGAGUCAAUGACUAAAUUUACACUGAAAUAUUUGGAAACCAGAGCUUUUGCUGAACCAGAGACUUUGCUGUUGCAUUUCAUAUGCAAAUACGAAAUGGGGGCUAGAGAUGAAGAACUGUGUGCUGGAAUCACUAUAAAGUCAUGAUUUUAAAUAUGUGGGUAUAGAUUUCCUAUCUUUAUUGGCCAAAAGUGUUUAAAAGCAGCCACAAUGCAGUAGCAAUAUCCACACUUAGUGCUCAGAUCUUGGUUUCUAAAUUCCAGUUCCCAUUAAUAGGAAUCAGUGCUUCUUAGAAAAAAAAAAAAUAGCUGCUUCCAGCACUGGGCCAGGGAAUGCAGAAUGAAUAUCUCGUGCAAAGGAGUGCCCCAAAGAUGAUGAGGAACUGUCAAAAGGUCUCUGAAGGGAUUCCCACUGUGCAAAUAAGGAACAAUUUGAGCAUCAAAAUAAAUAUCAUCCAGCCUGGGCAAUAUGUCGAAUCCUUGGCUCUCCAAAAAACACAAAAAAUUAGCAGGGUGUGGUGAUGCAUGCUCGUAGUCCCAGCUACUUGGGAGACUGAGGUGGGAGGUUCACCUAAGCCCGGGGAGGUUGAGCCUGCAGUGAGCUAUGAUCAUGCUGCUACACUCCAGCCUGGGUGACAAAGUGAGGCCCUGUCUCAAAAAAUUAAGAAAAUAAAUAUCAUUAGUAACAGAUUAUAACAUUAAAUAAAAUGGGAAUUCAUGAGCCCAUACUGAUACAAACAAAUGAAUAAGUAAGUAGGUAGAUAGAUGAUAGAUAGGAAAACUUUUCUUUACAUUGGAAAGCCAAUUGAGGCUGGGUGCAGUGGCUCAUCCUUAUAAUCUGGGAGGCCGAGGCAGGUAGAUCACCUGAGAUCAGUUCGAGACCAGCCUGGCCAAUGUGGUGAAACACCAUCUCUAUGAAAAACACAAAAAUUAGCCAGCAUGGUGGUGCAUGCCUGUAAUCCCAGCUGCUCGAGAGGCUGAGGCACCAUUGUUUGACCCCAGUGGCAGAGGUUGCAGUGAGCCAAGAUCAUGCCACAGCACUCCAGCAUGGGCAACAGAGUAAGACUCCAUUUCGGAAAAAAAAAAAAAAAAAAAAAAAGAAAGUCAAUUGAUAAAAGUAAACACAAUGAUGAAAUUGGAAAAAUCACUAUGUGGCAAUCAUCAUAGCAAUAAGAAAUUUAACUAAAAAUAUCAAAUGAUAAAAUUAGUGGGUGAAUGAUGAGAAACAGGAUACUGACAUGGUCUCAAAAUAACUCUCCACAAAAUACUGAGUAUAAACAGAAAGCAAGUAACUAUAAGCAGUAACAUGAGGCAGAGAGCACUUUAAUCAAAUAAUGAAGGUUAACAUCAGCAUGUUAGACAAACUGAAAUCGCACACCAUGUCAUACGAUACAAUGAGGACACGUAGCCUCACUUCUGUGAUACCCUACCAAAAUGCAAGUCAUGAAUCUAAUCACAAGGAAGCAUAAGGCAAAGGCAAACUGAGGGACAUCCUGCAAAAUAAUUGACUUUUAAGAGAGUCAAGGUCAUAAAAGCCAAAGAAAGAUAAAUAAAUAUGGCAACUAAAUGCAACAUGUAUUCCUGGACUGGAUCCAUUUGCAAUAAAGGACAUUAAUAGAACAAUUGGAGAAAUGAAUGGGGUCUGUGGAUCAGAUGAUAGUAAUUAUCAGUAUUAACUUCCUGAUGUAAAUGGUUGUAUCGUGGUUAUGUAGGAGAAAGUUCUUGUUUGUAGGAAUAUUUUUUUUCUGUUUUUUUAAAAUUGCAUUUCAGGUUUUGGGGUACAUUUGAAGAACAUGCAAGAUAGUUGCAUAGGUACACACGUGGCAGUGUGAUUUGCUGCCUUCCUCCCCUUCACCUAUAUCUGGCAUUUCUCCCCACGCUAUCUCUCCCUGACUCCCGACCCUCUGCUGUCCCUCCCCUAUUCCCCCCAACAGACCCCAGUGUGUAGUGCUCCCCUCCCUGUGUCCAUGUGUUCUCAUUGUUCAACACCCACCUAUGCGUGAGAACAUGCAGUAUUUUAUUUUCUGUUCUUGUGUCAGUUUGCUGAGAAUGAUGUUCUCCAGGUUCAUCCAUGUCUCUAUGAAGGACACGAACUCAUCGUUUUUGAUUGCUGCAUAAUAUUCCAUAGUGUAUAUGCACCACAUUUUCCCUGUCCAGUCUAUCAUCGAUGGGCAUUUGGGUUGAUUCCAGGUCUUUGCUAUUGUAAACAGUGCUGCAAUGAACAUUCAUGUGCAUGUGUCCUUAUAGUAGAACGAUUUAUAAUCCUUUGGAUAUAUACCCAGUAAUGGGAUUGCUGGGUCAAAUGGAAUUUCUAUUUCUAGGUCCUUGAGGAAUUGCCACACUGUCUUCCACAAUGGUUGAACUAAUUUACACUCCCACCAGCAGUGUAAAAGUGUUCCAAAUUCUCCACAUCCUCUCCAGCAUCUGUUGUCUCCAGAAUUGUUUAAUGAUCGCCAUUCUAACUGGCAUGAGAUGGUAUCUCAAUGUAGUUUUGAUUUGUAUCUCUCUAAUGAUGAGUGAUGAUGAGCAUAUUUUAUGUUUGUUGGCCUCAUGUAUGUCUUCUUUUGUAAAGUGUCUGUUCAUAUCCUUUGCCCACUUAUGAAUGGGCUUGUUUUUUUUCUUGUAAAUCUGUUUUAGUUCUUUGUAAAUUCGGGAUAUCAGCCCUUUGUCAGAUGGGUAAACUGCACAAAUUUUUUCCCAUUCUGUUGGUUGGCGAUUCACUCUAAUGACUGUUUAUUUUGCUGUGCAGAAGCUGUGGAGUUUGAUUAGGUCCCAUUUGUCUAUUUUGGCUUUUGUUGCCAAUGCUUUUGGUGUUUUGGUCAUGAAGUCCUUGCCUACUCCUAUGUCCUGUAUGGUUUUGCCUAGAUUUUCUUCUAGGGUUUUUAUGGUGCCAGGUCUUAUGUUUAAGUCUUUAAUCCUCUCCACCCCAAAUCCACAGAAUAUACAUUCUUCUCACACCUACUCUAAAAUUGACCACAUAAUUGGAAGUAAGUCACUCCUCAGCAAAUGCAAAAGAACGGAAAUCAUAACAAACAGUCUCUCAGACCACAGUGCAAUCAAGUUAGAACUCAGAAUUCAGAAACUAACUCAGAACCACACAGCUUCAUGGAACUGAACAACUGGCUCUUGAAUGUUGACUGGAUAAACAAUGAAAUGAAGAUAGAAAUAAAGAAGUUCUUCAAAACCAACAAGAAUGAAGACACAACAUACCAGAAUCUCUGGGACACAUUUAAAGCAGUCUCUAGAGGAAAAUAUAUGGCAAUAAGUGCCCAUAUGAGAAGAGUGGAGAGAUCCAAAAUUGACACCCUAUCAUCAAAAUUGAAAGAGCUAGAGAAGCAAGAUCAAAAAAACUCAAAACCUAGCAGAAGACAAGAAAUAACUAAGAUCAGAGCAGAACCGAAUAAGAUAGAGAAACAAAAAACUCUUCAAAAAAUCAAUAAAUCCAGGAGCUGGUUUUUCGAAAAGAUCAACAAAAUAGACCACUAGCUAGAUUAAUAAAAGAGAGAAUAACCAAAUAGAUGCAAUGAAAAACGAUAAAGGGGAAAUCACCACAGAUCCCACAGAAAUUCAAACCAUCAUCAGAGAAUAUUACAAACAACUCUAUGCACAUAAACUAGUAAACCUGGAAGAAAUGGAUAAAUUCCUGGACUCCUGUGUCCUCCCAAGCCUAAACCAGGAGGAAGCUGAAACUAUGAAUAAACCAAUAACAAGGUCUGAAGUUGAGGCAGCAAUUAAGAGCCUACCACACAAAAAAAGCCCAGGUCCAGAUGGGUUCACAGCAGAAUUCUACCAGACACACAAAUAUUCAAAAUUAUUCAGGGAUAUUAGACAUUAUGCAGCAACUCUUCAUCAAAUGGUUCAGAGGAUGGGGAAGCUCUUUGUUCUAUUUUUGCACCUUAAGUUUGAAUUUAUUUCAAAAGUGAAAAGAAAAGAUUCCAUGAGUCCACACUUAUACUAAAAACAAACAUUAAAAAAUAGGAAAAGAGAAAGUUUUUAUUUACAGUAGAAAGCCAACUGAAAAAAAGUAUAAGAACAAUAGAGCUUUCAAUAUUACUAUUUUUCAACUGCUGUGUUAUUAAUUGAUUUAGGCAAAGACCAUCAGUGGAUCCUAAAAUUAUUGGGUGAUAAUUUGUUGAGGAACAAGAUACUUAUACAGACUCAAAGCAUCUUCUCAUACUACUUAUUAAUUACAAAGGGGAAAAUGGUAUAUUUACCUAAGUCCGAUAGGUACUACUUCAGCCAAGUGAUUCAAGUUAACAUCAGCCAUGAUGGUAUGAACUGACAGCAGAUGAUUCCUGCUAUGAUGCACUAAAGGAGACACACAACAUUUACAUUGCAUUCUUGAUAAGAAUGCAUACUCAUAAUCAAAUCACAAGAAGGCACUCAGACUAACCUCAGGUGCCCAGGUCUUAGUUUCUACAUUGUAUUAAUCAACAUUCUGUAAAACAGUAGGCAAGCACUCUUUCAAAAUGAGGGCUGAUAAAUCACUGCACAUUAAAGGACACUAAAGAAACAUAAUAAUGGAAUAUAAUGUGCGAUCCUGGAUUAAAUCCUAGAUUAAAGAAAUAAAAAAUUGCUAUUUUCUUUUCUUCCCCCCAGCUCUGUCACCCAAGCUGGAGUACAGUGGUACAAUCACAGCUCCCUGCAGCCUCAAUCUCUGGGGCUCAAGUGAUCCUCCUACCUCUGCCUCCCAGGUAGCUGAGACUACAGGUGCACACCACCACAACCUGCUAAUUUUUUCUGUGUGUAUUUUUUUUAGAGAUGGGCUUUUGCCAUGUGGCCCAGGCUGGUCUCAUAUUCCUGUGCUCAAGGGAUCUAUCAGCCUGCCUCAGUAUCCCAAAGUGUUAGGAUUACAGGCAUGAGCCACUGCAUCUGGCCUAAACAUUGCUAUAUUCAACAUUAGUAUAGUAGUUAAAUUUGGAUAAAGGCUGUAUAAUAGAUAAUAUUAGAUCAAUGUUAAAUUUUCUGAAUUUGAUAAUGAGACUGUCCUAAUUCUAGUUAAUCUUUUCAACUUACUCUCAAAUGUUUCAGAGAAAAAAAAAUAAGAGCAUUUGUGUGAGAGAGAGAGACAGAGAGUGUGGGAGAG
Molecule: non-coding RNA, 10420 nt
Organism: Callithrix jacchus (white-tufted-ear marmoset)
Lineage: Eukaryota; Metazoa; Chordata; Mammalia; Primates; Cebidae
Source: RefSeq, a predicted model, not a curated record